GUCUUGAUAGGAUUCGAUGCAUUCUAGGUGCUGAUUUUUAAAGAAACUCUGACCACCCUCUUUUCAGUACGGGCUUUAGACUUGGUUUCCCUCUAACAUACAAUGGAUCCGAUCUACUAGAGGUAUUGCGACUCUGGUAGAUCCUCGAUGAACUCACAAUUGGUCAGAAAUUGUCUAAAUAAGAAGAAAAAGAGAAAAGAUA
This 202-nucleotide long non-coding RNA is filed under the name Elaeis guineensis (African oil palm). Its description in RNAcentral is "long non-coding RNA (EGUI_LNC011396)". Lineage: Eukaryota; Viridiplantae; Streptophyta; Magnoliopsida; Arecales; Arecaceae. The record is from RNAcentral.